RNAcentral lists this transfer RNA (84 nucleotides) under Peptococcaceae bacterium SCADC1_2_3. It matches the Rfam family "tRNA". From Rfam's summary of the family: Transfer RNA (tRNA) molecules are approximately 80 nucleotides in length. Their secondary structure includes four short double-helical elements and three loops (D, anti-codon, and T loops). The record is from Rfam by way of RNAcentral. Lineage: Bacteria; Bacillati; Bacillota; Clostridia; Eubacteriales; Peptococcaceae.
GCGGCAGUGGCGGAAUUGGCAGACGCGCAAGAUUCAGGUUCUUGUGGCCGUAAGGUCGUGGGGGUUCAAGUCCCUUCUGCCGCA